AUUGAACGCUGGCGGCAUGCCUUACACAUGCAAGUCGAACGGCAGCACGGGUGCUUGCACCUGGUGGCGAGUGGCGAACGGGUGAGUAAUACAUCGGAACAUGUCCUGUAGUGGGGGAUAGCCCGGCGAAAGCCGGAUUAAUACCGCAUACGAUCUACGGAUGAAAGCGGGGGGCCUUCGGGCCUCGCGCUAUAGGGUUGGCCGAUGGCUGAUUAGCUAGUUGGGGGGGUAAAGGCCUACCAAGGCGACGAUCAGUAGCUGGUCUGAGAGGACGACCCGCCACACUGGAACGGAGACACGGCCCAGACUCCUACGGGAGGCAGCAGUGGGGAAUUUUGGACAAUGGGCGAAAGCCUGAUCCAGCAAUGCCGCGUGUGUGAAGAAGGCCUUCGGGUUGUAAAGCACUUUUGUCCGGAAAGAAAUCCUUGGCCCUAAUACGGUCGGGGGAUGACGGUACCGGAAGAAUAAGCACCGGCUAACUACGUG
This 486-nucleotide ribosomal RNA is filed under the name uncultured bacterium. RNAcentral describes it as "partial 16S ribosomal RNA". It matches the Rfam family "Bacterial small subunit ribosomal RNA", at positions 29 to 507 of the family's 1533-position model. The record is from RNAcentral.